AAAUAAUUUUAAUAUUUAAAAAUUAGAAAAAAUAUUUUAUUAUUAGAAAAUAAUAUUUUAUUAUAUGAUGACUUAUUUGGCCUUAAUUAAAAAGUUUAAUCCUUAUUUAGCCCAAAACUUAAUUUUGGACUUAUUUGACCCUCGACUGAAAGUAUAGAGGUUUAUUUUGGUCUUUUUUUCAGUUAAAUAUUGAAGAUCUCUAAUUGUAAAAAGCUAAUUCAUAAAUGUUUGCAAUAGCAAUAGCAGUACCAUGUGAUGUCAUAAAACUACAAGAACAUAAACUUCUAAGAAGAAACAAAUUAAUACAUACCCAGCCAAGGCAUAUACGAAUCCUUGUGAUUCUG
This 344-nucleotide unclassified non-coding RNA is filed under the name Hevea brasiliensis (rubber tree). Lineage: Eukaryota; Viridiplantae; Streptophyta; Magnoliopsida; Malpighiales; Euphorbiaceae. The record is from RNAcentral.